This is a small nuclear RNA of Erinaceus europaeus (western European hedgehog), 164 nucleotides long. Its record names the gene U1. It matches the Rfam family "U1 spliceosomal RNA". From Rfam's summary of the family: U1 is a small nuclear RNA (snRNA) component of the spliceosome (involved in pre-mRNA splicing). Its 5' end forms complementary base pairs with the 5' splice junction, thus defining the 5' donor site of an intron. NCBI's taxonomy places the organism in Eukaryota, Metazoa, Chordata, Mammalia, Eulipotyphla, Erinaceidae. The record is from Ensembl.
AUACUUACCUGGCAGGGGAGAUACCAUGAUCACGAAGGUGAUUUUCCCAGGGCGAGGCUUAUCCAUUGCACUCCGGAUGUGCUGACCCCUGCGAUUUCCCCAAAUGUGGGAAACUCGACUGCAUAAUUUGUGGUAGUGGGGGACUGCGUUCGCGCUCUCCCCUA